This 303-nucleotide ribosomal RNA is filed under the name Triticum aestivum (bread wheat). RNAcentral's name for it is "partial small subunit ribosomal RNA". The record is from RNAcentral. Lineage: Eukaryota; Viridiplantae; Streptophyta; Magnoliopsida; Poales; Poaceae.
AUGAGGUCCAAUCGUGCCCCUGGUCCAGAUGAUAUCCCUGUUGAGUUCUAUCAACAUUGCUGGGAGGUGGUUGCCCACGACCUUUUCUGUCUUUUCGAAUGGUUCUAUGAAGGCAAGUUGGACGUACAACGCCUAAACUAUGGCAUUAUAACUCUUUUACCCAAAUCGGCAGAUGCUACAAGAAUCCAGCAAUAUAGGCCAAUUUGCUUACUUCGUUGCCCCUAUAAACUUAUCACUAAAGAUAUGGAUAUUAGAGUAAGCAAAUAUGCCUAUAAGCUGUUUAGUGUCCAGCAAAAUGCGUUU